GACGAACGCUGGCGGCGUGCUUAACACAUGCAAGUCGAACGGAAAGGCCCUGCUUGCCGGGUACUCGAGUGGCGAACGGGUGAGUAACACGUGGGUGAUCUGCCCUGCACUUCGGGAUAAGCCUGGGAAACUGGGUCUAAUACCGGAUAGGAGCCAUUUUUAGUGUGAUGGUUGGAAAGUUUUUUCGGUGUAGGAUGAGCUCGCGGCCUAUCAGCUUGUUGGUGGGGUAAUGGCCUACCAAGGCGGCGACGGGUAGCCGGCCUGAGAGGGUGGACGGCCAGAGGGGGAGGGGGAGGAGGGGAGGAAGAGGGGGGGAGGGGGGAGGGGGGAAGAAGGAGAGGGGAGAGCAAGCCGGAUGGGGCGACGGGGGGGGGGGGGUGACGGGUGGGGGGGUGGAAGCUGCGUGCGCGAGGGAGGAUGCUUUGGGGGACGGAACUAAGAUCAGAAGCACCGGCGAAAUACGGGCAAGAAGCGGCGGUAAUAAGGGGAAGAGCACACUUCUGAAA
Molecule: ribosomal RNA, 506 nt
Filed under: uncultured bacterium
Lineage: Bacteria
Description: partial 16S ribosomal RNA
Rfam family: Bacterial small subunit ribosomal RNA (bases 20-321)
Source: RNAcentral